RNAcentral lists this ribosomal RNA (691 nucleotides) under Eysarcoris guttigerus. RNAcentral's name for it is "partial 16S ribosomal RNA". The stretch from base 294 to 456 matches the Rfam family "Bacterial large subunit ribosomal RNA", at positions 1791 to 2013 of the family's 2925-position model. Lineage: Eukaryota; Metazoa; Arthropoda; Insecta; Hemiptera; Pentatomidae. The record is from RNAcentral.
AUUGAAUUUAAUUCAGGAUUAAAUGCUAUAUUGUAUAAUUUAAUUUAUACUUUAUAUUUUAAUCUAAAAUUAAUAGGGAUAAGCUUAUUAAUUAAUUUAUAAUCUUAAUUUUGUUUAAAUUUUGUAGGAUUAAAAAUUUCCAUCAUUUAUUUUGUUAUAAUUAAUUUUAAUUUAUAUUUUAUUUUAAUUAGGUUUAAAUUUUUAUUAAAAAUAAUUAUUUAAUAAAAUAAAUAAUUGUUAUAAUGAUAAAAUUAGUAAGUAAUAUAAUUAAUAUAUAGUAAUUCGGCAAAAUUAUCCCUCACCUGUUUAACAAAAACAUGUUCUAAUGUUUAAUUUUAUUAGAUUUGACCUGCUCAAUGAUAUUAAUUAAAUAGCCGCAGUAUUUUGACUGUGCGAAGGUAGCAUAAUCAAUUGUCUUUUAAUUGAAGGCUUGUAUGAAAGGUUGGAUGAGGGGAUAACUUUCUUUAUAUUAAAUAUUGAAUUUAAUUUUUAAGUUAAAAAGCUUAAAUUUUUAAAAGGGACGAGAAGACCCUAUAGAAUUUUAUAUUAUUUAUAAAUUAAUUAUUUUGGUUAGUUUUAAAUAAUUUUAUAAAUAAUAUUUUGUUGGGGUGACAGUGAGAUUUAUUAAACUCUUAUAAUUUAUAUUAUUGUUGAUUGACAUAUUUAUGAUCCUGAUUAUGGAUAACUAGAU